GAAAUGCGAUAAGUAGUGUGAAUUGCAGAAUUCAGUGAAUCAUCGAAUCUUUGAACGCACAUUGCGCUUCCGGGUAUUCCUGGAAGCAUGCCUGCUUAAGUUCAGCGGGUAUCUUGAAAUAAAUGGUUUGGCUGAGACUCUAAGAUCCAUAGGCCGACAAGCGCGACAAGAACUGAAGGGUCCUUGGACCUGCUAAGUUUCAAUCCGCUAAUGCGACUUCUGGUAUUAAGCUUAGGGCUCAUCGCCUUCUCAACUUUACGUGGUUAGGCCUAAACGGUUUAAUCCAAACUUGAUCUCAAAUCAGGCAAGACUACCCGCUGAACUUAA
RNAcentral lists this unclassified non-coding RNA (327 nucleotides) under uncultured fungus. RNAcentral's name for it is "sequence contains ITS1". The stretch from base 1 to 105 matches the Rfam family "5.8S ribosomal RNA", at positions 50 to 154 of the family's 154-position model. Lineage: Eukaryota; Fungi. The record is from RNAcentral.